Molecule: non-coding RNA, 4336 nt
Organism: Megalopta genalis
Lineage: Eukaryota; Metazoa; Arthropoda; Insecta; Hymenoptera; Halictidae
Source: RefSeq, a predicted model, not a curated record
UUAUCGUUCGUUGUUUUCGCGGGAAUCUCGUCGCACUUACGAACACGUGUCCCUCCUUUUCUGUCAUAGGGCCGACAGGAGUCCACGGUCGGCGCGAUCGAGACACGUAGCCUCCGUACAGCUUUGUCGGCACUCCAGUGUCACUGUCACAAAACGUUGUCACUCGGCCUGGCCGCGUUUUCUACUACGAAUUCACACCCCCCGCCACCGAUCGGGCUCCGUCGCGACCGCCGAAUUCGUAAACGCGCGCCCGUCACGAGCAUCCGGUUUACGCAAGAAGGCGUAGGCGACGUUAGAGGACGAGAGUGUUCCACGGUCCAGUGAGUGCAGCUGGAGAGCUUCGCGCGAGCCUCUGGGAACUUUACUGUCAAGCGUUUCGAAACGACGCCCUCCUCCUCCUCCUCCUCGUCGUCGUCCUCGUCGUCGUCGUCCUCGUCCUCGGACACCGGCGUACACGACCGCCACUUAGAGCAGUCUAAGUCCGUACUAAGCGAAAUGCGCUGCCACAUUUCUUUCGUGGCCUGCCUUCUGCGCCGGCCAUAGUUGACGGCCCCCCUCCAACGACGCCGCUCGCCGAGAUCCGAGCUGCACAAACAUUCAGGGCCGUAGACCGCCGAUCGUUCUCGAACCAAUACGAAUACACCGGACCUUCCACGAUUUCCCGCAGUUUUCCCCGUCGCAAGGUAAGGGACACUCCGCGAAAUAAAUACGACAGUAAUUCGCGCGUACACUGGCAGCCUGACAACCAACGUUUCAUAAAGAACGUCGAUUUUACGCGUUUGGAGCGCGUACCCGUGGUACAUACACGGACUUCGAGAUUUUCUGUGAGAAAUGUGACAACGUUCCAUACAUUCGUUAGAACAUCAAAACCGCGCAGACUGUUGUCCGAACGAACAUUGCCAACGAACGUGUCGAAACUGCUUAAACGCUCAAAUCUCGUUUACAGGAUUUUUAAAAACUAACCUAACAUCGUCGGUCAAGUUAUUGUUUACAAGUUUCAAGGCAAGUUUCCAUCUUGCAGCAAAAAUCGGCCUAAAUUGAAUCGUGUCGUUUUUAUAAGGCAACGUAAACUAACCACUUAUGGUGUUCGGGGUAGGUUCAGUGUUAAUUUCUAAAGUGAAGUGAAUCCGUCGGAUCGUCUUGUGAUGUUGGUCAAAUUUCGAAAACAUUGCUAUUUACACUGUGUGCAAGGUAGCGGCGCGUGAACAAUUGCUGGCAGUUCGAAAGAAUGAUCGCAAUUUCUUGCACGCGCGGGGCUGGACAGGGGGCAGGCCGCAGCUUUCGCGGGCGAGUGCUACGGUCCUGCGGGUACCGGUGACGUCGGGGCCGACAUGUGCCGAGUUUAUCCGAAGCGAUCGGGGCUCGGCCGUGAUUGGCCGAAUCAGCGUGGCGUUCUACGUUGCUAGGAUACGGCGGUGUGCCAUCACGGUGGGGGGACGGGGGGCACGACGCAAGACCACACACGCGGUACCAUUUCCCCUCGAGCAAAAACAUUACCCACACACGGCAGGGCCUACGUGACACGCACGAGGCACACAACGGCGUUUACAGAUCGCCGCAUCAUCUCUUUCUCUCUUUCACCCGUUCCGUCUCCCCGGUUCCUCCUGCUCGUCUUUCCUUCUCUUUCUCCUCGUCAUUGACUCCGAGCCGUCUCCAGAGAAGUUUUGUAUAUACGCUCCCUACGUUCUGUGCUAGUAGAAAAGGUCUGAACGAAGGUUGACGGGCGGAUGAAAACGAGCAGAAGACGGCCACCGACGUACCCGAACGUAAACACCGUUGUCCCGCGGCUCCCCCCGGCAUCGAAAUUGCUACCUAUCCAAUAAUAAUCGCGACCGGAAAUGCGAAAGUUUGAUGCGGCGGUCGCCAUCACCGUCACCGCGCGCCCCUGUAAAUCUGCAUAAUUGAUUAUACGUGUCUCUUCUGCCGUCUCUUAGAAUUUGAUUGGUAGUUGCAAAGAAGUUCUCAUGGGCUGACCGUAUUCACACAGUUGUAUGCGACAGCAAUCGUUCUUGCAGCCGGCAAUGACAGUCUGGAUUGAGAUCUUUAUUAGACACCUCGACUGUGUAAUCUGGAGCCGCAAUUUCGCUGAUUUUAUCGGUUUUUGGUAUAUUUGAUCCAUUUUCUCGAACCUAGAGAGCACAGUCUUUGGGGAAUACUGUCAAAAAAAUUGAUAAGAUAGACGAAAGAUUGCAAGCUUGAUUGGUAAUUGCUACCAAACGUUUGGAAGUCACAACCAAAAUUUGGUCCCCGAGCCUAAUGGGAUAAAAUUAAGAAGACCCUUCCUAGCCUUGAAAUGUUCUAGAUCAUUUCACACCAUUUAUAAUAGUUCAGAUAUUUUCCAUGUACGAUAGAAUAUCAGCUCCGCAAUGAUAAGACAAUUUAUGAUCCCAGCAAACUUGUUAGCGUAUUCCAACUUGCUAGAAAGAUCUAACGUGACAAUUUACAGACCGGGGGAACAAGGUUUUACCAUUUGGACAGAGAGAAAUGCCAGCCAACAACUCGCCUCCCCGCAGCACAAAGCAAUUAGGCAGCACGUUUUUCCAGACGGCUUGAUUGAAUCGUGCGUUUAAUCCUCUGCGGCUGCUGGUCACCGUGUCGCGUAACAUCUUGGAGUACCUACCUACCUGUGAUCCGCCGAAGAGAGAGGCACGACCGUUCUGAAUACGUUCAUUAAGCCGCGGAGAAGAGCGUUACACCAGACAAUUAACUUAUUAACCUGUCUUCAUAAUAUCUGCAUAACGAUGCGACUUCAUUAGGCGUCGUACACCACUUCCGUGCGGCGUCGUGCACGCGUAUACGCAUGCUGAUCGGCCCCGGCUCACACGCACCCGUUGCGCUCGUGCGCACGUGUACGACUUGCGGUGAGGAACAGCGCGAAAAGACCGGACAGAGGGUCGGAGAGAGGAGAAAGACAAAGAAAGGAGAUCUUAGGAGGGGGCCCGGAGAAAAUUAAAUAAGAGAGAGAGAGAGAGAGAGAAAAAGAGCGCGAGACAAACUGGCAGAUCGAAAGAGCCUUCAUUGAUCGACGCAUCAAUUACGUCUUCAUUACUAAACUGCGGAUUUUAUGCAUUUACAACUGAAGCGAGUGGGUGGAAUACAAAACAGUAAAUACAAGGGAAGAAUUUUGGGAUUGUGUCACGUUAUCCUCAAUUUAUUGAAACCGUUGAAAAUGAAAAUAAAUGUCGAUUUUACUCCUCUUUGCUGCAAUUUACCUGCAGUUUAUUCAUUAGAGGCAUUACGGUACAAUCAUCGGACUAUACAAUAUCAACGUUAAUAAGAUUUCUGAUAGGGACAACUUUUUUAUUGCAUCCACAUAUUGCCAAAUUCUGAAGAUCGGCGACCAUACCAUCGCAUAUCUACCGAAAUAGGCGAGUCUAUCGUCUUCACGAGAACGAGCAAGAAAGUUUCAUUUACCGCUUCGACCACUCGGAUCGUUUCCCUUUCGGAAAAGUGAGCAAAAAAAAGCUGGCCGAAGAUAGGAAUUGUCACAAUAAGACGUUCAAGUGCUCCGGGGACCGAAGCCGAUGGGAAAUGUCAUUGCACAUUGUGGUGGCAAGUUCGACGAAUGCACCCAACUGUAGUUGCCGAUCCGGCGAUAAGGCACAGCGUGCGGAGGGACCGUUAAUAAUUUUUACGACACUCUUAGCUCGCCACCCAGUAUUAAGCGGUCCUCCGUAGAAGACGGGCUUUGAUCUUCGCCGACGCUGCAUCGGCUUAAUGAGUGCGAGAGCGAGAUAGCCGAGGGAAGCCGAGGCUGAAACAGAGCGCAGAAGGAGCAACGGAGUCCCCUGUGGAUCUAUUUUCCACAAUAUGCACCUCUGUAGCUCGGGUUGCAUCGUACCAGGGCAUCGGUGCACCAUCGCUGCGGUAUCGCGGCCGCGGUGGAGCCACUCAAUGAAGUCGGAUCGCAAUUAAUUAACCGCUCCCCGGCACUCGUUUCGCUGUAAUUCUCAACGAAAUUUUAUCUUUAAUUCUUGCUCGAGCAGGCUCGCGAUAAAUUGCGAUCGAAGGGCUUGCAUUUCACGCGAUUUUUAAUCUGCGAACGGCGGAUUUUAUGCCCACGUUAGAGAUAGGAUUAAGCAUGUGCAUUAAAAGUAGAUACGGAUCUAGUUGGACAGUUUCGAAUGUCCCACGAGCACCGCGAACAAAAAAAUCAACACUUUCGAAUAGAUUCGACGUUCAGACGAGAUAGGCUCGAACUCUUUUGAAAAUAUUUUCGUAGAUUUCAACUUAUUUUAACAUGUGUAUGUCUCGUCACUACACGAAUAUUCUUUAAUAUUGGUUUUCGCUAUUACCGGAUAUUAAUAUACAAUAAUAUACAGUAAUACAGAAUACU